CAAGAUAAACUACUUUUAUCAACUUUUUAUUCAAUUGCAUUCGUCUCACUUUAAUAUGAAAAUGCAUCCCUAUUUUGGACGAGUGGUACAUCCCACUCUCCCUGCACAUCGAAAAUAUUUGUUCUUCGUUCACACCCCCGUUUUCUAAUUAUUUGAAGCAACAAAGCUCCAUAGUCGACUGAGAGGAAUCUAUCGGAAGCCUAGUGUACUUGCAUGGAUUCAUUAAACAUCGAGCAAUCACGACUGGAAUAGUUAUUUCCUAUUCUCAAGUUUAAACAUUUUACGUACACCCAACUUUAUUUCUGCAUGCUCAAAGAAUCACUUCAGUCGGCUCUCAUUGGGUUGAAUCAUUUUGUUCGUAGUGGAGAUCAACUUUGUUGUUUUAUUUCCUCGUUUGAAAGGUCUUAGAUCGCGUCAACUCACCAACAUCAAUUAAGACGUGACAUGGAGCCUGUCCAGAAGCAGGAAGAAA
Lytechinus variegatus (green sea urchin) is the source of this 472-nucleotide long non-coding RNA. RefSeq lists it as uncharacterized. The record is from RefSeq and is a predicted model, not a curated record. The transcript has 2 exons. Lineage: Eukaryota; Metazoa; Echinodermata; Echinoidea; Temnopleuroida; Toxopneustidae.